GAUGAACGCUAGCUACAGGCUUAACACAUGCAAGUCGAGGGGUAGCAGGGUAGCAAUACCGCUGACGACCGGCGCACGGGCGAGUAACACGUAUCCAACCUUCCCAUAACUCGGGGAUAGCCUUUCGAAAGAAAGAUUAAUACCGGAUGGUACUUUUUCAAGGCAUCUUGAGAAAGUUAAAGAUUUAUUGGUUAUGGAUGGGGAUGCGUUCCAUUAGAUAGUUGGCGAGGUAACGGCUCACCAAGUCUUCGAUGGAUAGGGGUUCUGAGAGGAAGGUCCCCCACAUUGGUACUGAGACACGGACCAAACUCCUACGGGAGGCAGCAGUGAGGAAUAUUGGUCAAUGGGCGAGAGCCUGAACCAGCCAAGUAGCGUGAAGGAUGAAGGUCCUAUGGAUUGUAAACUUCUUUUAUAGUAGAAUAAAGUGAUCCACGUGUGGAUUUUUGUAUGUAUACUAUGAAUAAGGAUCGGCUAACUCCGUGCCAGCCGCCGCGGUAA
RNAcentral lists this ribosomal RNA (498 nucleotides) under uncultured bacterium. RNAcentral describes it as "partial 16S ribosomal RNA". It matches the Rfam family "Bacterial small subunit ribosomal RNA", at positions 28 to 523 of the family's 1533-position model. The record is from RNAcentral.